GCGGAUGUGGCGGAAUUGGCAGACGCGCCAGACUUAGGAUCUGGUGUUUACGACGUGGGAGUUCGAGUCUCUUCAUCCGCACCA
This 84-nucleotide transfer RNA is filed under the name Candidatus Ornithoclostridium faecavium. RNAcentral's name for it is "tRNA-Leu". It matches the Rfam family "tRNA". From Rfam's summary of the family: Transfer RNA (tRNA) molecules are approximately 80 nucleotides in length. Lineage: Bacteria; Bacillati; Bacillota; Clostridia; Christensenellales; Christensenellaceae. The record is from RNAcentral.